GACGAACGCUGGCGGCGCGCCUAACACAUGCAAGUCGAACGAGCGAGAGAGAGCUUGCUUUCUCGAGCGAGUGGCGAACGGGUGAGUAACGCGUGAGGAACCUGCCUCAAAGAGGGGGACAACAGUUGGAAACGACUGCUAAUACCGCAUAAGCCCACGGCUCGGCAUCGAGCAGAGGGAAAAGGAGCAAUCCGCUUUGAGAUGGCCUCGCGUCCGAUUAGCUAGUUGGUGAGGUAAUGGCCCACCAAGACGACGAUCGGUAGCCGGACUGAGAGGUUGAACGGCCACAUUGGGACUGAGACACGGCCCAGACUCCUACGGGAGGCAGCAGUGGGGAAUAUUGCACAAUGGGGGAAACCCUGAUGCAGCGACGCCGCGUGGAGGAAGAAGGUCUUCGGAUUGUAAACUCCUGUUGUUGGGGAAGAUAAUGACGG
Molecule: ribosomal RNA, 434 nt
Filed under: uncultured bacterium
Lineage: Bacteria
Description: bacterial SSU rRNA
Rfam family: Bacterial small subunit ribosomal RNA
Source: RNAcentral